This 378-nucleotide ribosomal RNA is filed under the name uncultured bacterium. RNAcentral describes it as "bacterial SSU rRNA". It matches the Rfam family "Bacterial small subunit ribosomal RNA", at positions 28 to 406 of the family's 1533-position model. The record is from RNAcentral.
GACGAACGCUGGCGGCGUGCUUAACACAUGCAAGUCGAGCGGUAAGGCCCUUUCGGGGGUACGACGAGCGGCGAACGGAUGAGUAACACGUGGGUGACCUGCCCUCAGCUCUGGGAUAAGCCUGGGAAACCGGGUCUAAUACUGGAUAUGACUCCAUGACGCAUGUUGUGGGGUGGAAAGCCUUGUGCGGCUGAGGAUGGGCCCGCGGCCUAUCAGCUUGUUGGUGGGGUGAUGGCCUACCAAGGCGACGACGGGUAGCCGGCCUGAGAGGGCGACCGGCCACACUGGGACUGAGACACGGCCCAGACUCCUACGGGAGGCAGCAGUGGGGAAGUCUUGCGCAAUGGGCGAAAGCCUGACGCAGCGACGCCCGUCGUA